Ooceraea biroi (clonal raider ant) is the source of this 3583-nucleotide long non-coding RNA. RefSeq lists it as uncharacterized. NCBI's taxonomy places the organism in Eukaryota, Metazoa, Arthropoda, Insecta, Hymenoptera, Formicidae. The record is from RefSeq and is a predicted model, not a curated record.
CAUCUUAUAUUACGCGCAAGCGUAAUACGUGUUCGAUCUACAGACACAAAAAUCCAGUACUAUGUAAAGAGCCAACAGAUGAGAUCGCUCGAUGUUUUUGCAAAAUGUUGCCACUAGCAAUGCGUAAUCGAUGGGAAAUUGGCAGUCUGUUGACUUAGAGAAGCCAAUCGGUCGCAUGCGUUCGUGUUUUUUUCAUUGAAGGGAGUAAUGGAAGUUAAAUUAUUAAAAUAGCACGUUUUGAACGCCCAGUGUAAUUUGCCCAGAAAGAGGGGGAAGAAAUAUACGCCUUCUUUUUUACGCUGUUGCAAGCGCGACUGUAAAUUUUCAAACGGUUCAUCGAACACCCUUAUUGUCGUCAGUAAUGUCGAGUAUCACAUUAUGAAUGCUUUGUUACACGAGAACUUUUCAUGAGUGAAGAUAAUCAGAAAAUAAAAAUUACAAAAAGAUAUCUUUGUCUAUUAAAAGACACGCAAAGUAGUUUCAUCCCAAGCAUGUACAUCGUUUUUUUCGGAAAAUUCUGUGAAUCCCUGGAGAUCAAUAUUGUCAUGCGGGAAUACUUGCCGCAAAAGGAAAUUAUUAAUGAACACUUUUUAACUACGAGAAAAUAUUUUCGUAAUAAAAGUGAAUUAGCCUAUAUUAUCUUAAUUUCAAUUGGGAAUAAUAUUUUUUUAACGUGCGGAUUCUGAAGAAUCUUUUUGCACAAUAGAAUAUUAUGAUUGCUAUGUCUGGUAACAAAGAAACUUUCAGUUUAACUCGAUAUAACGUACAAUACGUUUCAAACUUUUUCAUAGUUUCAAACUAUGAUAUAUUGCGAAUUAUAGAUUAAACAUUAUAGAACAUCAAUACAUCACUCUGAGUAGGAUGUUGCUGUACUCGCAAGCAGCUGUGACGAACUAUUUCUGAGAUCAAAUGAGAAAAAGAAUUUCUUCACGCUUUUCGACUCUGCUAUAAGUAGACAUAUUAUCUUUUUCUUCUAUUUUCUAAAUCGUCGAGAGAAAAUGAUAUAUGCAUGCAGACAAUUGGUGCAAUUAUGAAAAUUGAUCCAUACGUGCAAGUAAUACAGCUUCCCACGGUGAAAAUAACUGACUAUAUUCCAAAUACUUUGGUCAAUAUUGAAAAUAACGCAUGCGCAAUAAUGAUUUUCUAUGACCAAUUGUUCUUCUAGUCUCAGUAUUGUUUAAGCAACGGAUCGGAAUGAUUAAAUAAAAUCAAUUAAAAAAUUACUUACUCGAAAGAGAGUACAGCUUAAAGAUAUUACACCAAUUACGAUUAAAGGAAAGUACCACAGAUGAAAAGAAAAGAGAAUAAUUAUUUUGAAUAAAUAAGCGUUGCUCUCCACAAAUCUUCUUUGCUACUUUGUCGUCAUUUUAUACUCGUGACCGCAUGGCAUGCAUGACAGUAAAAUAUGACACAGCCGAAGUUAUAAGCUAGAAGAAUUGAUUUUUGCAUAAUUAAGAACAAUUUUUGGACUGGUAAUGGCGCUACAUACCAAAGAGUAUCAUAUCUAAAAUUUAAAUAGACAAAACAUUAAUGUUUCUACUAAAGGUCAAAUUUUAAGAGACGUGUGUAUAAGACAUUAACUGAGAAAAUAUAACCGCAGCUUAUGCCACAUACACGUGAUGAUACAUAAAUAAGUAUUAGUAUAAAGUAAAGGAACGAAGUAAACGAACUAAAUGAACGAUAAGGUAAUAAAGAAAUGAAAUGACUGAUACAAAGUUACAUUGUAAAACACAAGCAAGUAUUUAUAUAUUAUCAUAAUACUUACAUAGAUUCUAAUACUUCUGCACUGUGUUCGAUAUAAGAUUGCCCAAGAAAAUUUGCCACGAACAUAUAUGCGAUACAGCUAAAGAACAUCAGGCAGGACAGGAAAAUCUCAAAGAAGUCAUUGAACAGUAUUAUAGCAUUAUAUAGCUACAAAAAAUACAUUAUAUGCUAUGUUAUAUGUGAUUACAUAUAGUAUAAAGUAAUAUUGUAUAUAAUGCAACUAAUAAUAUAUAAGAUCAGAAGCGCACAUACUUUACAGAAGCCUUAAAAAAUAAAAAAAUAAUUCCAGUGCCAUGGAUUUGUGAGAAAAUGUACAAUUCUCGGUAAUAAGUUUUGCUUUAAAUACUAUUUAAGAAAAUGAACAGGUCGAUAUCACUAACAAUAAUUAACAUCACCGAAAAAUAUUAAAGAUACAAAGAUACAUUGCAUUUUUUGAUACAAUUUUGUUUACACAAGAUUUAUACACUUAUAUUCUUAUGUAUAAAAGAAUUCUCGAGAUUCUAAGUAAUUCCAAUGCGCAAAGCAGAUAUACAGGGUGUUUCACACAAGGCGAAAAACCCUUCGCUCAUAGGUAGAUCUCGUUAAAAUUGAAUUAAAAAGUGUUAUAGUAUUUUGCAAAUACCCACGUAAAAUUUCGAGUUAUUAAUAAAAGAAGCUUAGCGAAUCAGUACGCGCGUUAGCGCGGCUCGUGCAGCGAGUGACGCAAUGAGGCAGCGGUGCCAGAAAGCGUGCUUUGUAACAUGCGGUGGGGAUGGAGUGGGAUGGUCUCGCGAAUCGUCGCACGCUUUCUGGCCUCGCCCUCUCCACUCACAUCAGUGAAGCUACGCUCGUACUGAUUAGCUCAUCUUCUCUUAUUGAUAACUCGAAAUUUUACGUGGUUACCUACCUGUGGGCGAAAGGUUUUUCGUCUUAUGCUGCGAGGCACCCUGUAUAUACAGGAUUCUAUUAUAUUAAUAAUUACUACUUACGCGAAACAUAAUGCAACUUAAAGACAGUACGCAAAAUAAAAGUAAUGGGAAAUACCACACAUUGAACGAUAUUAUCAAGUUAUUGGUGAAUCUUCAAAGACAGAAAACAUCUAUUUGUAACUUUAAUCACUAUUAAAUCUAUAUUUACACACAAAAAUUAAUUAAACAAAUGUAAAUAUGAAGAUAUAAUAGUAAAUAUAUUUUAUAUAAACUAACUGCAUGCUUCUUCUAUGAAUGUGAACUGAAAGACAAAUGCUUCGAUGCAUAAAUAGCAUUCUUUGAGCAACAGGAAGUUGUAGCGUACGGAUGGUUACUGCAUUUCGGAUUAAACAACUGAAAACAAAUUGAUUUUACGUGGUCGGCAUUCAUUCAUUGGUGCGAUAAUAUCAAGAAUCACAGCUCUACAUUCAAAAGUUAGAAAUACGAUUGAAGCCAAACCAACGAAAACUGGAGGAAACAUCCGAAUUAGAGUUAAAAUAUAUAACAAAUGUAAUAAAACUAUAAAGAAAUCGUGAUUUCAUUUUUGAUCCACUUACUAAUUGCUGAAAAUAUGUAAAUAUAAGCUUCAAAGAGAUAUUCUUCAAAUAUAUUCAUUGCUUCACUGUUUUCAAACAAUUUCCAAUCAAACUGCAUAUGUUUUAAAGCUUUCUUUAUCUGUUCUUAAACAUUGUCACAAUUUGAAGCACACCGUAAUUAAAUCUUUGGAAAUUUCAUAUAAUGUACGGAAAUUGCAAAUAUUACUCACAAUUUCAGAGUUGAAAUAAAAAGAAUAGUAACUCAGGAUUUGUAUAAAAUAAACAAAAAAAAAAGAUAAUCUUUUUAGAGUGCAAUCCAUGUUACAUGCCAUCGUU